Molecule: long non-coding RNA, 829 nt
Organism: Sander lucioperca (pikeperch)
Lineage: Eukaryota; Metazoa; Chordata; Actinopteri; Perciformes; Percidae
Exons: 2
Source: RefSeq, a predicted model, not a curated record
CAAACAAAGAGUCCUGGAAGCCUGUGCGCGAUCAAUCUUACUCGCCAAAAGGUCUGACAGCUCGGUGCCCUCACAACACAUUUAAGGCUUCUUACUCUCCCCCGGAUCAAAUGCAGCCAGGAAGCGGCGAGAAACACUGGCCACUCAGAUUAGAACCAGUUUCUCCUCGCAGUUGUAGCCGGGCUGUCGCUGGAGGGAUAUUAUAAAAGAUAAAUAAGAAUACAGCUACACAAGAUGCGAUUUCCUUUUUGAGGAAACUGUAAUGCGCCAAUGAAUCUUCAGAAGCGCCCGGUGACAUUUUUAUUAUUAUGGAUGUGCCCACGCAGGUGAGAGGAGGGAAGAAGGCCACCCGAGUGUUUCCUUCACGUCGAAUCAAGAAGAGGGGAGAAAAAAAACAAGUAGCUUUGAUUUAAUAUUUGAAUGUAUGUGCGGCCAUUUCCCUUUCUGUUAUUGAAUAUGAAAUAUAGCCACUGGUUUUAAAUUAUUAUUUUUUUAAUAUUAUACCAAUAUAUAGAUUUAGCAAUGAUCAUCCAUGGUUCAUUAUUUAUCCUAACUAUUAACAUUGUAUUGUUUCUUAUAUUGCCAAUUGUUUUUUUUUCUUUUUGCUAUUACCUCUACUACAAUUCUUUACCGUCAUGAAAUAUAUAAGAAUACUGAUAUGUAAGAAUUGCAAAACUAGAAAUAUAUAUUUUUUAAACUGUAUUGUGUUUAAUUUUGUGAUCAUGUAAAAUGCGUCUGAUGUGUCUAAAUUAAAACUGCAAUAUUUGCUUGAAUUAUAUUUCAAUUAUUUUAUUUAUUUCUUCAAACUGGAGCAGCGUGGAAUGUAUGA